GUAAGAGCAAUGACAGGAUAGGGAGAAUUAACAAAAAGGUACUGUGUGAGCUGCUUGAAGAGGGAACCGUACUGAACAAGAAAACAUUAUUAGCAGCUGUUAUUCUUCCUUUGUGGCCUACUGAAGGAGUAUCAGUUCUUAGAGAAUCUUAAAGUAGUUAAAAGUCACAGUUUCUAGUCUAGAAUCCUGACUCAGAGAGAUAUCAGAAAUGUUGCACACUACAGAAGCCCCUUGUCAGCUUUACAACUCAGGAAUGUUUUUCUGAAGGGUCUGGGAGCCAUCUCUCUCCCAGACACCUGGCUCUGUAACCAACCACCUGCUUGUCAUGAACAUAUGAAAAGAAUAAUUUUUCCUUUGGAUAAAGACAACUGACACAGAUGGACAACUACCAGGAGAAUUCAGGCUAAAACAGAUGUAAGAGCAACGGUGCUGGUCCAGUCCUGCUACAUGAGGACCAAUUUUCAUCGUCUUGAGAAUACAUAUGUCAUAGAUCACGUCUGUCUGGCUUCACCAAAGGCUGAGCUCUCCUUCUGUCCACUAUCUCAUUACUGGGUUGCCUGUAAUGUUCACUGCAGUCUUAAUGCUUAUCCAAUAAUAAAACUUUCUUUCUUUCCUA
Eptesicus fuscus (big brown bat) is the source of this 616-nucleotide long non-coding RNA. RefSeq lists it as uncharacterized. NCBI's taxonomy places the organism in Eukaryota, Metazoa, Chordata, Mammalia, Chiroptera, Vespertilionidae. The transcript is spliced from 4 exons. The record is from RefSeq and is a predicted model, not a curated record.